GGAUGCGAUCAUACCAGCACUAAAGCACCGGAUCCCAUCAGAACUCCGAAGUUAAGCGUGCUUGGGCCAGAGUAGUACUAGGAUGGGUGACCUCCUGGGAAGUCCUUGUGUUGCAUUCC
Molecule: ribosomal RNA, 119 nt
Filed under: Triticum aestivum (bread wheat)
Lineage: Eukaryota; Viridiplantae; Streptophyta; Magnoliopsida; Poales; Poaceae
Source: RNAcentral